This 508-nucleotide ribosomal RNA is filed under the name Hemicordulia mindana. RNAcentral's name for it is "partial 16S ribosomal RNA". It matches the Rfam family "Bacterial large subunit ribosomal RNA", at positions 1819 to 2597 of the family's 2925-position model. Lineage: Eukaryota; Metazoa; Arthropoda; Insecta; Odonata; Corduliidae. The record is from RNAcentral.
GUCUUUUUGAAAUUUAAUAGAAAGUCUGACCUGCCCAGUGAUUAAUUUAACGGCCGCGGUAUACUGACCGUGCAAAGGUAGCAUAAUCAUUAGUCUUUUAAAAGAGGGCUGGAAUGAAAGGUUUGACGAAGUAUUAACUGUCUCAUCUUAUUUGAAAUUAAAACUUAACUUUUUAGUCAAAAGGCUUAAAUUUUAUUGGAAGACGAGAAGACCCUAUAGAGCUUUAUAUUAUUUAUUUUGAUUAAUUAUAUAUAAUUUUUAGUUAAAAUAUAUAUUAUUUUGUUGGGGUGACAAGAAAAUAAAAUUAACUUUUUUAAUUAUUUAACAUUAAUAUAUGAUUAUUUGAUCCAUUAUUAUUGAUUAUUAGACUAAGUUACCUUAGGGAUAACAGCGUAAUCCUCCCCCAGAGUUCAUAUUUACGGGUAGGGCUUGCGACCUCGAUGUUGGAUUAAGAUAAUAAUUAGGUGUAGCCGCUUAUUUUAUAGGUCUGUUCGACCUUUAAAUUCUU